GUCCAGCCUGCCCAGUGAAGCAUUAAACGGCCGCGGUACCAUAACCGUGCAAAGGUAGCGCAAUCACCUGUCCCUUAAUUGAGGACUAGUAUGAACGGCUAAAUGAGGGCACGACUGUCUCUUGCAGCCAAUCAAUGAACUUGAUCUUCCAGUACAAAAGCUGAAAUAUACUCACAAGACGAGAAGACCCUGUGGAACUUUAAACCAACAUACUACUUAGACCAAAUAAACCCGGAUUAAACUAGUGUGUAUUUUUAGUUGGGGCAACUACGGAACAAAAUAAAACCUCCAUGCUAUAACGCCUAUAAAGUGCACGCCACAGGCCCCCACGCCAUACACCAAACAACUGACCCAGCACAGCUGAUCAUCGAACCAAGCUACCCCAGGGAUAACAGCGCCAUCCCUCCCAAGAGCCCACAUUGCCGGAGGGGUUUACGACCUCGAUGUUGGAUCAGGACUUCCCGGCGGCGCAGCCGCUGCCAAAGGUUCGUUCGUUCAACGAUUAAUGUCCU
This 512-nucleotide ribosomal RNA is filed under the name Lygodactylus rarus. Its description in RNAcentral is "partial 16S ribosomal RNA". It matches the Rfam family "Bacterial large subunit ribosomal RNA", at positions 1852 to 2597 of the family's 2925-position model. The record is from RNAcentral. Lineage: Eukaryota; Metazoa; Chordata; Lepidosauria; Squamata; Gekkonidae.